GGUCAAGUGAAGAAGCGCAUACGGUGGAUGCCUUGGCAGUCAGAGGCGAUGAAAGACGUGGUAGCCUGCGAAAAGCUUCGGGGAGUCGGCAAACAGACUUUGAUCCGGAGAUGUCUGAAUGGGGGAACCCAGCCAUCAUAAGAUGGUUAUCUUACGCUGAAUACAUAGGCGUAAGAGGCGAACCAGGGGAACUGAAACAUCUAAGUACCCUGAGGAAAAGAAAUCAACCGAGAUUCCCUUAGUAGUGGCGAGCGAACGGGGACUAGCCCUUAAGUGGCUUUGAGAUUAGCGGAACGUUCUGGAAAGUACGGCCAUAGUGGGUGAUAGCCCUGUACGCGAAAAUCUCUUAGUCAUGAAAUCGAGUAGGACGGAGCACGAGAAACUUUGUCUGAAUAUGGGGGGACCAUCCUCCAAGGCUAAAUACUACUGACUGACCGAUAGUGAACUAGUACCGUGAGGGAAAGGCGAAAAGAACCCCGGAGAGGGGAGUGAAAUAGAUCCUGAAACCGUAUGCGUACAAGCAGUGGGAGCCCACUUUGUUGGGUGACUGCGUACCUUUUGUAUAAUGGGUCAGCGACUUAUUUUCAGUGGCGAGCUUAACCGAAUAGGGGAGGCGUAGCGAAAGCGAGUCUUAAUAGGGCGUCUAGUCGCUGGGAAUAGACCCGAAACCGGGCGAUCUAUCCAUGGGCAGGUUGAAGGUUGGGUAACACUAACUGGAGGACCGAACCGACUACCGUUGAAAAGUUAGCGGAUGACCUGUGGAUCGGAGUGAAAGGCUAAUCAAGCUCGGAGAUAGCUGGUUCUCCUCGAAAGCUAUUUAGGUAGCGCCUCAUGUAUCACUGUAGGGGGUAGAGCACUGUUUCGGCUAGGGGGUCAUCCCGACUUACCAAACCGAUGCAAACUCCGAAUACCUACAAGUGCCGAGCAUGGGAGACACACGGCGGGUGCUAACGUCCGUCGUGAAAAGGGAAACAACCCAGACCGUCAGCUAAGGUCCCAAAGUUAUGGUUAAGUGGGAAACGAUGUGGGAAGGCUUAGACAGCUAGGAGGUUGGCUUAGAAGCAGCCACCCUUUAAAGAAAGCGUAAUAGCUCACUAGUCGAGUCGGCCUGCGCGGAAGAUGUAACGGGGCUCAAACCAUACACCGAAGCUACGGGUAUCACGUAAGUGAUGCGGUAGAGGAGCGUUCUGUAAGCCUGUGAAGGUGAGUUGAGAAGCUUGCUGGAGGUAUCAGAAGUGCGAAUGCUGACAUGAGUAACGACAAUGGGUGUGAAAAACACCCACGCCGAAAGACCAAGGUUUCCUGCGCAACGUUAAUCGACGCAGGGUUAGUCGGUCCCUAAGGCGAGGCUGAAAAGCGUAGUCGAUGGAAAACAGGUUAAUAUUCCUGUACUUCUGGUUAUUGCGAUGGAGGGACGGAGAAGGCUAGGCCAGCUUGGCGUUGGUUGUCCAAGUUUAAGGUGGUAGGCUGGAAUCUUAGGUAAAUCCGGGAUUCUAAGGCCGAGAGCUGAUGACGAGCUAACUUUUAGUUAGCGAAGUGGUUGAUGCCAUGCUUCCAAGAAAAGCUUCUAAGCUUCAGGUAACCAGGAACCGUACCCCAAACCGACACAGGUGGUUGGGUAGAGAAUACCAAGGCGCUUGAGAGAACUCGGGUGAAGGAACUAGGCAAAAUGGCACCGUAACUUCGGGAGAAGGUGCGCCGGUGAGGGUGAAGGACUUGCUCCGUAAGCUCAUGCCGGUCGAAGAUACCAGGCCGCUGCGACUGUUUAUUAAAAACACAGCACUCUGCAAACACGAAAGUGGACGUAUAGGGUGUGACGCCUGCCCGGUGCCGGAAGGUUAAUUGAUGGGGUUAGCUAACGCGAAGCUCUUGAUCGAAGCCCCGGUAAACGGCGGCCGUAACUAUAACGGUCCUAAGGUAGCGAAAUUCCUUGUCGGGUAAGUUCCGACCUGCACGAAUGGCGUAACGAUGGCGGCGCUGUCUCCACCCGAGACUCAGUGAAAUUGAAAUCGCUGUGAAGAUGCAGUGUAUCCGCGGCUAGACGGAAAGACCCCGUGAACCUUUACUAUAGCUUUGCACUGGACUUUGAAUUUGCUUGUGUAGGAUAGGUGGGAGGCUUUGAAGCGUGGACGCCAGUCUGCGUGGAGCCAACCUUGAAAUACCACCCUGGCAACUUUGAGGUUCUAACUCAGGUCCGUUAUCCGGAUCGAGGACAGUGUAUGGUGGGUAGUUUGACUGGGGCGGUCUCCUCCUAAAGAGUAACGGAGGAGUACGAAGGUGCGCUCAGACCGGUCGGAAAUCGGUCGUAGAGUAUAAAGGCAAAAGCGCGCUUGACUGCGAGACAGACACGUCGAGCAGGUACGAAAGUAGGUCUUAGUGAUCCGGUGGUUCUGUAUGGAAGGGCCAUCGCUCAACGGAUAAAAGGUACUCCGGGGAUAACAGGCUGAUACCGCCCAAGAGUUCAUAUCGACGGCGGUGUUUGGCACCUCGAUGUCGGCUCAUCACAUCCUGGGGCUGAAGCCGGUCCCAAGGGUAUGGCUGUUCGCCAUUUAAAGUGGUACGCGAGCUGGGUUUAGAACGUCGUGAGACAGUUCGGUCCCUAUCUGCCGUGGACGUUUGAGAUUUGAGAGGGGCUGCUCCUAGUACGAGAGGACCGGAGUGGACGAACCUCUGGUGUUCCGGUUGUCACGCCAGUGGCAUUGCCGGGUAGCUAUGUUCGGAAUAGAUAACCGCUGAAAGCAUCUAAGCGGGAAACUAGCCUCAAGAUGAGAUCUCACUGGGACCUUGAGUCCCCUGAAGGGCCGUCGAAGACUACGACGUUGAUAGGUUGGGUGUGUAAGCGCUGUGAGGCGUUGAGCUAACCAAUACUAAUUGCCCGUGAGGCUUGACCAU
RNAcentral lists this ribosomal RNA (2892 nucleotides) under Pseudomonas sp. ChxA. RNAcentral's name for it is "23S ribosomal RNA". It matches the Rfam family "Bacterial large subunit ribosomal RNA". Lineage: Bacteria; Pseudomonadati; Pseudomonadota; Gammaproteobacteria; Pseudomonadales; Pseudomonadaceae. The record is from RNAcentral.